CCUACGGGAGGCUGCAGUGGGGAAUAUUGCACAAUGGGCGCAAGCCUGAUGCAGCCAUGCCGCGUGUGUGAAGAAGGCCUUCGGGUUGUAAAGCACUUUCAGCGGGGGGGAAGGCGGUGAGGUUAAUAACCUCAUCGAUUGACGUUACCCGCAGAAGAAGCACCGGCUAACUCCGUGCCAGCAGCCGCGGUAAUACGGAGGGUGCAAGCGUUAAUCGGAAUUACUGGGCGUAAAGCGCACGCAGGCGGUCUGUCAAGUCGGAUGUGAAAUCCCCGGGCUCAACCUGGGAACUGCAUUCGAAACUGGCAGGCUAGAGUCUUGUAGAGGGGGGUAGAAUUCCAGGUGUAGCGGUGAAAUGCGUAGAGAUCUGGAGGAAUACCGGUGGCGAAGGCGGCCCCCUGGACAAAGACUGACGCUCAGGUGCGAAAGCGUGGGGAGCAAACAGGAUUAGAUACCCGAGUAGUC
Molecule: ribosomal RNA, 465 nt
Filed under: uncultured Klebsiella sp.
Lineage: Bacteria; Pseudomonadati; Pseudomonadota; Gammaproteobacteria; Enterobacterales; Enterobacteriaceae
Description: bacterial SSU rRNA
Rfam family: Bacterial small subunit ribosomal RNA
Source: RNAcentral